This is an RNA transcript of Carya illinoinensis, 1661 nucleotides long. It is a transcript of the gene named protein COFACTOR ASSEMBLY OF COMPLEX C SUBUNIT B CCB2, chloroplastic-like, with no coding region annotated. The transcript is spliced from 8 exons. Lineage: Eukaryota; Viridiplantae; Streptophyta; Magnoliopsida; Fagales; Juglandaceae. The record is from RefSeq and is a predicted model, not a curated record.
ACUUGCGCAUUACUAGCACCAGCGAAAAUUUCAAAACAUUUUUCCAGCUUCCAAAUCCAAAAAGAAGAGAGAAAGGGAAGAAAGGAAAAUGAGCAACCUACUCUAUUCUAAUCCGUUAAUUCAGUUCAAAAUGAAGAUAAUCCCUGCUCAGUUCCCCGCCAAAAAAUCCACCAUGAAACCAGCGUCAAUCUCCUCUCGUCUUCAAAACUCGCAAACUCCCUCAAAUCAACAACUUAACCUAUCCGUUCUUCGCUUCACUCUCGGGAUACCUGGGUUGGACGAGUCCUAUUUACCCAGAUGGAUCGGGUACGGGUUCGCUUCGCUUCUCAUUCUGAACCACUUCCUGGGUUCGGAUUCUGCUACACCCACUCCGGCACAGCUUAGAACAGAAGCUAUCGGCCUUUCUUUGGCUGCAUUCUCCGUUAUAAUCCCCUAUCUUGGAAAGUUUCUUAAGGGUGCUAGUGCAGCAGAUCAAGCAACUAUCCCUGAAGGUACUGAGCAAAUUUUUGUCAUGUCACAAAACAUAUUGGAUACUAAGAAGGAAGACUUGGCUUGGGCAACUUACAUCUUGCUUCGCAAUACCAACACCAUUGCUGUGUUAAUAUCUGUUCAAGGUGCAUUAUGUGCACGUGGCUACUGGAAUAUACCAGAAGAGGCAUCAAGAAAAAAUUUACUUGAAUGGUUUGAGAAACAAAUUGAAAGGAUUGGCCUAAAAAAUCUGAAGGACACCCUUUAUUUUCCUCAGAAUUCAGAUUCUGUGCUUUGGGAGCUGUUACCCAAGGGGACUCGUUCUCUCCUGGUACAACCAGUGCUACAAGUUCCAAAACCUGGUGCCAAUCAGAUGGAAGGUAUUGAAGGUGAAGGUUUUGUCCUGUUGGCUUCAAGCAGGGGCUAUGCAUAUAGCGAUAGAGAUAAAGCCUGGAUAGGAGCUCUUGCAAACAAAUUUGGAGAAAAUUAGCUGGUAAGUACCUGUGCAUGACUUGCUUGAGAAGAAAGCGAAGUGUCUUGGUUGCUAUCUGCUUUUAAUUUGCUGCACUAACAAAAUGAGGGAGAAAAGGAAAUAAAGGAUGAUCAGCUAUUGAUCUUCAAUUGAUGAACACGUUAAAGUUCCAGAUUGUGGAGACGGAAAACGAUAUGGGUUUCUACAAAAAUUUCUCCAAGCCAUACACCAGAUUCUGCAAGAAAAAUUUACAAUGAAAGGGGCAUUUUCAUUUUGGAGAUGGACUAAAGCAAAAUGCUUGAAGACAUUAAAAAAUUAAAUGGCAUUGGAUUGGUUACCUUGAGGCGCACAACCUUUCUGAUGGCCAAGAUUAGGCCUGGCAUCAGACAUUGCACAUUGGUAAUAUCAUGUUUGAGGCAGUAUACCUGUGGUAAGCAGUAUUUAUGGAACAGAUUGUGAUGUUCGUAAACUGUUCAAGCUCAUGCUUCUGAAAACAAGAAAAGGAAAACCACUAACACACCUCUCCUGGGCCUGAGAAGUGGACUGUUGUACUUGAAGGAAGUCCUGGAAGGACUAAGCUAUGUACUCGAACCCCAUCUUCUCCUAGAACUUGACCCCUCGCCUUAUAGGAUGAAAAGACAAGUAAUGAACUGCUUUUGUAUCAUGUGGACCUCUGUAAAUGUUUGCUAGUUAUUUGAUUCUGUGAGAUCUAGAUUUUCCA